Molecule: small nuclear RNA, 104 nt
Organism: Diceros bicornis minor
Lineage: Eukaryota; Metazoa; Chordata; Mammalia; Perissodactyla; Rhinocerotidae
Source: RefSeq, a predicted model, not a curated record
GUACUUGUUUUGGCAGCACAAAUACUAAAAUUGGAAUGAUAUAGAGAUCAGCAUGGCCCUUGCUCACGGAUGACAUGCAAAUUUGUGAAGCAUUCCAUAUUUUU